This 513-nucleotide ribosomal RNA is filed under the name uncultured bacterium. RNAcentral's name for it is "partial 16S ribosomal RNA". It matches the Rfam family "Bacterial small subunit ribosomal RNA", at positions 29 to 523 of the family's 1533-position model. The record is from RNAcentral.
AAUGAACGCUGGCGGCAGGCCUAACACAUGCAAGUCGGGCGAACAGAUGAAGUGCUUGCACUUCUGACGUUAGCGGCGAACGGGUGAGUAACACGUAAGGAAUCUACCUAUAAGCGGGGGAUAACAUUCGGAAACGGGUGCUAAUACCGCAUAAUAUCUUCUUCCGCAUGGAAGAAGAUUGAAAGACGGCUCUGCUGUCACUUAUAGAUGACCUUGCGGUGCAUUAGUUAGUUGGUGGGGUAACGGCCUACCAAGACGAUGAUGCAUAGCCGACCUGAGAGGGUGAUCGGCCAAAUUGGGACUGAGACACGGCCCAAACUCCUACGGGAGGCAGCAGUAGGGAAUCUUCCGCAAGGGGCGAAAGCCUGACGGAGAAAUGCCGCGUGAGUGAAGAAGGCCUUCGGGUCGUAAAACUCUGUUAUAAGAGAAGAACAAAUUGUAGAGUAACUGCUACAGUCUUGACGGUAUCUUAUCAGAAAGCCACGGCUAACUACGUGCCAGCAGCCGCCGUAA